AACACAAAAUUCAAUUUAUUUCAAUUUUGCCCCUCAGACUCUCAGAUGCUUCAUAAAGAGCUUUGAAAAAUUAGAAAAGUUGUGUUACUCUAUGUGGAGUUAUCUUCAUCUUACCACCGCUUUCCUUUAUCUUCGUCUGUGACUUUCUUGUUUCUCUCUCUCGCUCUCGCUCUCUCUGACGUAUAUAAAGGUAGGCCUUUAGGGGGACAUGGCGAUUGCAGUGGCGACUCAACCACACCAACUCAAGCUUAAAUGACAGAUUUUUGGAGCAGAAUUUAGUAUACAUUGGAAAAUUUGCGAAAAAUCUUCAGUUACCUGAGUUCUAAACAGGAGUUAGGGUUGUGGGUUAGGGAUUUCUCAUGGAAAUAUUUUAGAACAAAAUGAGAUGUUGACUUUCUCCAGCUCUGUUAUGAAAAACUUUAUUGAAAAAAAAUAUUACUACUUUUUUUUGGGGUGUAAACUUUUUCUUUUUGUAAACUGGGUUUAUUAGGAUUUUUAACUUCUACAGGGUCUUCUGGCGGCAUAGUGGUGGAUAACCUUAGAUGGACUCCACUGAUUUUCACAUUAGAAAGCCCCUUGGAAGAAGAAAAUCCGGUCAUGUAUAAUAUACAAUGAUAAAUAAUAUAUAAUAGAUGACUAAACUUAUAAUUAGUUUAGCUACUCAACUAAUCAUGCUUUGUUAACUCAAGAUAUUAUUCAUCUGUUGUUGUUUAAUGGAGAUGCCACGCCAUUCUUAUUGCACAUACAUUUUAGAAAGAAAACUAUUUAUCCUCUUCUUCUUUGAAGUUUAGAUUUAUUUGUGAGUUUGAAGUUUGUGUGGAGGUAGUUUAGUAUGUACAGUAUUUAUAGGAGACGGUACAAAACUAUAAUGCAUUGUAUCAACCUUGGGGAGCUUUGAAUACUUUACUAAAAUUGUACGUACUGGAAUACUUUAAAUCUCAACCAAGCUUGGCGGAAAUAAUCAAGCAUUUCAGUGCAAUUCUUCAGGGGGAGUUCACGAUAGGAAGCGACACAUUUAGCAUUCAGAGUACUUACUCUUAAGGGUGAGUAAAUUACAUUAAUUUUAGAGUUUACAAAAUUAAAUAAAGUGUGUAGCCUCUGUAUAUCUAGAAAGUUUAUUAGUUGUCUACUGAAGACAUUUGCUUGCUUUUCUUUUGUUAGUCGUUGCAUAUGUUUCUUUGAUGCUUUAAAGGCUAUAGUUCUAAGGUAGUGUUCUGUCAUAGAAUGAUGUUGCAUGAAGAAACGUGGUAAUAUCUCGAGUCCCUUAUGUAUUAUGUUAAAGCUUGUGUAUCUCUCAUUUUAUCAGUAAUUUGGUAUUUUUAACAAUUGCCAUGCUGCUUUAUAUAAUGCUUAAGCCAGCUGGUUGAGUAU
Nicotiana tabacum (common tobacco) is the source of this 1371-nucleotide non-coding RNA. The record is from RefSeq and is a predicted model, not a curated record. NCBI's taxonomy places the organism in Eukaryota, Viridiplantae, Streptophyta, Magnoliopsida, Solanales, Solanaceae.